AACGUAGGUGGCAAGCGUUAUCCGGAUUCACUGGGCGUAAAGAGCGCGCAGGCGGUCGAUUAAGUCGAAUGUGAAAGCCCCCGGCUCAACUGGGGAGGGUCAUUCGAUACUGAUCGACUUGAAGGCAGGAGAGAGAAGUGGAAUUCCCGGUGUAGUGGUGAAAUGCGUAGAUAUCGGGAGGAACACCAGUGGCGAAGGCGACUUCUUGGCCUGUUCUUGACGCUGAGGCGCGAAAGCCAGGGGAGCAAGCGGG
RNAcentral lists this ribosomal RNA (253 nucleotides) under uncultured bacterium. RNAcentral describes it as "partial 16S ribosomal RNA". It matches the Rfam family "Bacterial small subunit ribosomal RNA", at positions 524 to 776 of the family's 1533-position model. The record is from RNAcentral.